RNAcentral lists this ribosomal RNA (325 nucleotides) under uncultured bacterium. RNAcentral's name for it is "bacterial SSU rRNA". It matches the Rfam family "Bacterial small subunit ribosomal RNA", at positions 1051 to 1378 of the family's 1533-position model. The record is from RNAcentral.
GUCGUCAGCUCGUGUCGUGAGAUGUUGGGUUAAGUCCCGCAACGAGCGCAACCCUCGCCUUUAGUUACCAUCAUUCAGUUGGGGACUCUAAAGGAACCGCCGGUGAUAAGCCGGAGGAAGGUGGGGAUGACGUCAAGUCCUCAUGGCCCUUACGCGCUGGGCUACACACGUGCUACAAUGGCGGUGACAGUGGGCAGCAAACUCGCGAGAGUGCGCUAAUCUCCAAAAGCCGUCUCAGUUCGGAUUGUUCUCUGCAACUCGAGAGCAUGAAGGCGGAAUCGCUAGUAAUCGCGGAUCAGCAUGCCGCGGUGAAUACGUUCCCGGG